This 285-nucleotide ribosomal RNA is filed under the name uncultured bacterium. RNAcentral describes it as "partial 16S ribosomal RNA". It matches the Rfam family "Bacterial small subunit ribosomal RNA", at positions 28 to 313 of the family's 1533-position model. The record is from RNAcentral.
GACGAACGCUGGCGGCGUGCUUAACACAUGCAAGUCGAGCGAGGCCCUCCUUCGGGGGGUGCCCUAGCGGCGAACGGGUGAGUAACACGUGGGCAACCUGCCCUCAGCUCUGGGAUAACUCCAAGAAAUUGGUGCUAAUACCGGAUGUGACCGCUGACCGCAUGGUCUGGUGGUAGGAAAGAUUCAUCGGCUGAGGAUGGGCCCGCGGCCUAUCAGCUUGUUGGNGGGGUCACGGCCCACCAAGGCGACGACGGGUAGCCGGCCUGAGAGGGUGACCGGCCACAC